This 430-nucleotide ribosomal RNA is filed under the name uncultured fungus. RNAcentral's name for it is "eukaryotic LSU rRNA". It matches the Rfam family "Eukaryotic large subunit ribosomal RNA", at positions 1 to 432 of the family's 3401-position model. The record is from RNAcentral. Lineage: Eukaryota; Fungi.
GACCUCGGAUCAGGUAGGGAUACCCGCUGAACUUAAGCAUAUCAAUAAGCGGAGGAAAAGAAACCAACAGGGAUUGCCUCAGUAACGGCGAGUGGAGCGGCAACAGCUCAAAUUUGAAAUCUGGCCCUUGGGUCCGAGUUGUAAUUUGCAGAGGAUGUUUCGGGCGUGGUCCGGUCUAAGUUCCUUGGAAUAGGACGUCAUAGAGGGUGAGAAUCCCGUAUGCGACUGGGUGCCUAAGCUCAUGUGAAACUCCUUCGACGAGUCGAGUUGUUUGGGAAUGCAGCUCUAAAUGGGUGGUAAAUUUCAUCUAAAGCUAAAUAUUGGCCAGAGACCGAUAGCGCACAAGUAGAGUGAUCGAAAGAUGAAAAGCACUUUGGAAAGAGAGUUAAAUAGCACGUGAAAUUGUUGAAAGGGAAGCGCUUGCAAUCAG